UACGGAGGGAGCUAGCGUUGUUCGGAUAUACUGGGCGUAAAGCGCACGUAGGCGGCGCCGUAAGUCAGGGGUGAAAUCCCGGAGCUCAACUCCGGAACUGCCCUUGAAACUGCAGUGCUAGAAUUCUGGAGAGGCGAGUGGAAUUCCGAGUGUAGAGGUGAAAUUCGUAGAUAUUCGGAAGAACACCAGUGGCGAAGGCGGCUGACUGGUCCGGAUCUGACGCUGAGGCGCGAAAGCGUGGGGAGCAAACAGG
This 253-nucleotide ribosomal RNA is filed under the name uncultured bacterium. RNAcentral describes it as "partial 16S ribosomal RNA". It matches the Rfam family "Bacterial small subunit ribosomal RNA", at positions 524 to 776 of the family's 1533-position model. The record is from RNAcentral.